RNAcentral lists this long non-coding RNA (641 nucleotides) under Equus asinus (donkey). RNAcentral describes it as "lncRNA (ENSEASG00005038324.1)". The record is from RNAcentral. Lineage: Eukaryota; Metazoa; Chordata; Mammalia; Perissodactyla; Equidae.
CCCAUCCCUCUCCCCUUCUCCCGGGCUCCGGGCUCCAAGAGCAGAGAGGCGGGCCGCGGACGUCCCCACCCCCACCGCCGCCCCAGACCGCGCCCUCGUGCGCCCGCUCGCAGCGGUCUGGAGCCUUCCUGUAAGUCAGGCCUGAGUCAGGACCGGAAGGGUGACCUCGGUUCCCGACAGUGCGGGCAGGAUGACACCGUAACAGCCACUCGCCGGUGGGAGGGAAGAGGAGCAGAGCGCGGGGUGGCGCGUGGGGUGGGGAGAAGGGCAGCCUCCCGUAGGCGUCCCCGGCUCGGCCCCAGGAGCUGGAAAAGACCAGGCCUUGUCCUUGUCCUCCAGGCGGGGGGGAGGGCCCAUAGACCUCAACACCUCGUCCUCGUGUGUGGGGCCUGUCCCACCAGCUCCCCUUCACUCCGGCUCCCCCGGCUCCACCCUAAUCCUUUUCUUAUUCCAAUUAUAGAUGUGCUAUUUAAAAGGGUUCUGUGGACGGAUCAACCUGGAAAAUUCAGCAGUUUUCUGAGAAGUCCCAGAACUAAAGGAUCAUGGACUGUAACCUGAAGAAUUUAUUUAUGGAAAGAGACAUCAAAUAAGACUCUUUGCAGCCCUGUUGAAAAGGACAAUACCAGGAGGAGAAGAAGACG